AUGGAGGUGGUGAGUGCUUCCCAUGGCGUCUUGGGUUCCCUGCUGCGGAAGCUCACCGGUUUGCUCGCCGGUGAGUGUGCCCGCCUCAAAGGCGUCCGCCGCGAGAUCCGCUCGCUCAAAGCCGAGCUGACCAGCAUGCAUGGCGCGGUCGAGAAGUACACAAUGAUGCAAGAUCCCGAUGUUCAGGUUAAGAAGUGGAUGUCGCUGGUGAGGGAGCUGACCUAUGACAUUGAGGAUGUCAUCGACAAGUUCAUCCACCAGCUCAGUAAUGAGAGCCACCAGCACCAGGGUGGCUUUAAGGAGUUCUUCCGCAAGACUGCUCGCCGGCUCAAGACUAUGGGCUCUCGCCGUGGAAUCGCCAACCAAAUCGAUGAUCUGAAGAUUCGUCUCAAGCAGGGAUGA
Molecule: ribosomal RNA, 402 nt
Filed under: Triticum aestivum (bread wheat)
Lineage: Eukaryota; Viridiplantae; Streptophyta; Magnoliopsida; Poales; Poaceae
Description: partial small subunit ribosomal RNA
Source: RNAcentral